Molecule: ribosomal RNA, 910 nt
Filed under: uncultured archaeon
Lineage: Archaea
Description: bacterial SSU rRNA
Rfam family: Archaeal small subunit ribosomal RNA
Source: RNAcentral
CAAUGGGGCUGGGAUAGAAUGCGAGUCGAGCGUCUCUAGCUAUGUUGAGACGCGGCAGACGGCUCAGUAACACGUGGCUAACCUACCCUCAGGACAGGGACAAACCCGGGAAACUGGGGCUAAUAUCAGAUAGGCGAGGAUGCCUGGAAUGGUUUUUCGCUCAAAGGACCUUGGAAACAUGCUUUCAAGUCGCCUGAGGAUGGGGCCGCGUCCGAUCAGGUUGUUGGUGAGGUAACGGCUCACCAAGCCUAUAACCGGUACGGGCCGUGAGAGCGGUAGCCCGGAGAUGGGUACUGAGACAAGGACCCAGGCCCUACGGGGCGCAGCAGUCGCGAAAACUCCGCAAUGCACGAAAGUGUGACGGGGCUACCCCGAGUGCUCUCCGCUGAGGAAAGCUUUUCUCUGGUGUAACAAGCCAGGGGAAUAAGGAGAGGGCAAGACUGGUGUCAGCCGCCGCGGUAAUACCAGCUCCCCGAGUGGUAGGGAUGUUUAUUGGGCUUAAAGCGUCCGUAGCCGGCUUAGCAAGUCUCCUGUUAAAUUCAGCGACCUAAUCGUUGAGCCGCGGGAGAUACUACUAGGCUAGGAGGCGGGAGAGGUCAACGGUACUUCCGGGGUAGGGGUGAAAUCCUAUAAUCCCGGGAGGACCACCAGUGGCGAAGGCUGUUGACUAGAACGCGCUCGACGGUGAGGGACGAAAGCUGGGGGAGCGAACCGGAUUAGAUACCCGGGUAGUCCCAGCUGUAAACGAUGCGAGCUAGGUGUUGGGGUGGCUACGAGCCACUUCAGUGCCGCAGGGAAGCCAUUAAGCUCGCCGCCUGUGGAGUACGGCCGCAAGGCUGAAACUUAAAGGAAUUGGCGGGGGAGCACCACAAGGCGUGAAGCUUGCGGUUCAAUUGGAGUCAACGCCGGA